Long non-coding RNA from Clupea harengus (Atlantic herring), 179 nucleotides. RefSeq lists it as uncharacterized. The record is from RefSeq and is a predicted model, not a curated record. NCBI's taxonomy places the organism in Eukaryota, Metazoa, Chordata, Actinopteri, Clupeiformes, Clupeidae. The transcript is spliced from 2 exons.
GGCAUCGCUUCUGAUGUCCAGGAAUUGAGUGUAUUGUGCGACAUCUCGAUGGAAGCUGUAGGUGCUGAAUGUGCAGAUGUUGAUCACACAUUGGAAGUUGUCGUGCCACGUUUCGCGACUUAGACAGUCUGGCAGGCCCAGAGUUCAACUGGCUGACCGAUGAUGUAAGUAAAACUUAG